This is a long non-coding RNA of Mastomys coucha (southern multimammate mouse), 926 nucleotides long. RefSeq lists it as uncharacterized. The transcript is spliced from 2 exons. The record is from RefSeq and is a predicted model, not a curated record. Lineage: Eukaryota; Metazoa; Chordata; Mammalia; Rodentia; Muridae.
ACUUGAGCACGCUGACUCUCCUUAGCAAGAGCGUCGCCCUCCACGCCUUCUGAGCAGCUCAGGUUCCGUAGCGCCCUCGUGUGUCUGGAGGGAGAAACGUCCUGGGUUUGAGUUGGACGAUGUUACUGGGGCACAGGGAGAAGUCUGGCCGAGCAUUGGAACUUUUUACAGGCGCCAGGAAUGAAUGGGAGAACUCAAGAUGAAUUCUUGAUGCCUUCUCAGAGGAGAGUUAGUGGCGGCACGUGAAAGGAUCCAGAAUAAACCAUAAGCAGUCGAAAUCCAAGGCCAAAAGAAGCUGACGUCACCCCCAUGUUUGCACGCCCAUGAUUUCUGGAUCCCAGCCCCUGGAACAGUACUGCUCUCUUUCAGGACCGGUCCAUCUCUCUUCAAUUGAACCUUUCUGAGAAAGCUCUCACAGUCAUGACCAGAGGUAUGUCUCAUAGGAGCUUCUAAUGUUGGUCAGGUUGACAAUGAAGAUGAGCCAUCACAGCCAGGGUUUGGAAACCAUCAGAGGAAGCAUGUGUGUUCCAGGGAGCGUAUGAGUUGCGGAUACGUGUGGACAAUUGACCAUCGCUGCCAGGUACCCAGGUGGGCAGGAAGAAAAUCUGCCUGACACACCCCCCUAACAGUCCUGCAGUGAGAUCACAUAUAGAACUGAAGUGUUGGGCUGGCGAGAUGGCUCAGCGGGUAAGAGCACUGACUGCUCUUCCUAAGGUCCUGAGUACGGAUCCCAGCAACCACAUGGUGGCUCACAACCACCCGUAAUGAGAUCUGACACCUUCUUCUGGUGCAUCUGAAGACAGCUACAGUGUAUUAAGCCAGAUUCUGAGUUCAAUCCCAGCAGCCACAUCUGUACAGAGAUGUACUGUACUACAGAGUACUCAUACACAUAAUAGAUACAUAAAUAAAUAAAUAAACAAACUGCA